Molecule: ribosomal RNA, 435 nt
Filed under: uncultured bacterium
Lineage: Bacteria
Description: bacterial SSU rRNA
Rfam family: Bacterial small subunit ribosomal RNA
Source: RNAcentral
CAGGCCUAACACAUGCAAGUCGAACGAUGCUUUCGGGCAUAGUGGCGCACGGGUGCGUAACGCGUGGGAAUCUGCCCUUGGGUUCGGAAUAACCGUUGGAAACGACGGCUAAUACCGGAUGAAGACGAAAGUCCAAAGAUUUAUCGCCUGAGGAUGAGCCCGCGUGAGAUUAGGUAGUUGGUGGGGUAAAGGCCUACCAAGCCGACGAUCUCUAGCUGGUCUGAGAGGAUGAUCAGCCACACUGGGACUGAGACACGGCCCAGACUCCUACGGGAGGCAGCAGUGGGGAAUAUUGGACAAUGGGCGCAAGCCUGAUCCAGCAAUGCCGCGUGAGUGAUGAAGGCCUUAGGGUUGUAAAGCUCUUUUACCCGGGAUGAUAAUGACAGUACCGGGAGAAUAAGCCCCGGCUAACUCCGUGCCAGCAGCCGCGGUAAU